This is a long non-coding RNA of Clupea harengus (Atlantic herring), 5715 nucleotides long. NCBI's taxonomy places the organism in Eukaryota, Metazoa, Chordata, Actinopteri, Clupeiformes, Clupeidae. The record is from Ensembl.
UAUUCUCCCUCCUCCCCUUCCCUGGGCUUCCCAGCACAACAGCUGUGGGAUAUUUUUUUGAGCCACGCGAGGGGAGGGGAUUACCAUUAGAAGGACGGACGAGUUCUCUAGCGAGUGGACACACCGACCAAAGGGGGGGGAGGAGCGAAGAGAAAGUUCAUGUGCAACAGAUCUACUCCUAACACAUGAAAAACUAGUGGGGAGACAUUACUAUAGGUCUGGAGGUUUAUGUGUCAGUCUUUUGCCACGAGGCAAGGAGCAGGCGACUUCCCACGGCCAGGGUGGACUAUGUCCUGGGGGUUUCCUCUCAGUGUGGAAUAUGAGUGACACCCAACAGAAACUAGAGAGAAACUGAAGAAACAAGUCUCUCUCUCUUUCUCUCUCUCUCUCUCUCUCUCUCUCUCUGAGGCACUGGGGAAGGCUGGUGAGUGGACUCUUUCUUCAUGGCAACUUCAGUUUGUAAACAGGUUUGACUGACACGAGCAAAAGCAAAGAGGUGUGCAGAAAGGCUAAAAGAAGAUGCACCAAGAGACAGACGUUCUUUAACUUAACUGAUACUGACAACUAAGUGUGCAAAUUAAAUGUCUUGAGGCUUAAUGAGGCUUAAUUUCAUUACCUGAACAGUUUCAAAAGAGUGAAAGUUUCAUACAAGACACAAAACACCUCUGUUCUCACAGCUGCUGACAUGCUCUCGAGCAGACACUACAUAUGAAAUGUUGAGGUGGAAACUUCACUAUCUGCACAAUAGUUGCAUGCUUAAUGAACAAUGGAAAAGAUAUCACAGAGCUCAAGCACAAUAAAUCAUGCAGCAUCUGUGAGUGACAUCUGUCCCUCAACGUGUCACUGGCAACAACAGUGUAAUUUCCCAUUAGAGGCAAUCAACAUCAUAUAAACUAAAGCAAUUUGCAGUCACAGAAACAAAAUCAAAUGUGUGGAAAGUGCUUCCAGUUUUAGAUAUUAUUGCGUUCUCUUGGCAACUCUCUUGGCAACUCUUGUACUUUGAGUGCGAAAGUGCAACAGGUUUCACUGGCAAAGCUCAAGGCACGAUGAUGAGCUACAGAUGUGUUUUGGUAUGUGUGGUAUUUAACGGGUUAAAUAGUGAGAGAAGAGACAGAGAUAUUCUAUCACACUGAUAAGACAUGAGGUAGUGGGACUAGGUGGGAGGGGGAAACCGGAGGGGAUGAUUCAGUCCCGAGGAAUCAGGCUGAUGUCAGUUACUCGAGACUAAUCAAAAACAGUCCUCUGGCAUUCUCAGGGCUGCUGGGCCUUGAUAGUGCAGUACGCUCGCUUCCUUUUCCUGUGUUUGUUGUGGGAGAGGUCAAAAAAGUUCAAUUCCCACAGAGCUCAAAUAUGAUAGAAGUGCUUAGACAUUUAAACUACCUUGACAGAACAAAGGUAAAAAUCAAGGCAAAGCUUGAACAAGUUUGAAUGAGUAAUCUAAGCUAUUUUUUGCAAGAACUGGUAUUUAAACCGUAGGGUUUUCAUAACACAAGCAUGUACAAAUGGUAGCUCUCCUCGUGAAACCACUUAUGGCCUAAUUAUAUAGUUCAUUAUAAUUCACUUAGUAAAUUCUUAGUAAAAUUAGAGCUUAGGAAUUCAUAUAAUGUUGAUAUCAUUAUUGAAUUUACAACUGUCAAAAAUAUGUACAUAAAUAUUAUUCAAAUAAAAAGUGAAUAAAUACAUUCUAUUUUAUAAUAUGUCUUAUUUAUUCCUUGUUUCACACGUUUCAUACAGUAUAGCUCAGACCUUCUCUAAUGAUAUAUUGAUUCUGAAGCUGUUAUGUAUGUGCACAACCUGAAUAUAACACUGGCAUAACAAGAACUGCUCAGGCCCAUGUUCUCCAUCUCCUUCCCCUUUCCCAUAGAAAGCUGAAACCAAAGGGGACAGCAUUGCAAUCCCCCCACCCCCCCUCCUCUCUUAGGAGUACUCACAGCCUCCGGAUACUUUCGCUCCCGUCAGCUGUCCCUCUCAAUCUGAUCUCAGGAAGCCCUGGCACUCUGGCUCCAUGGACUCCGCCGCAGGGGAACAGAAUGUAACUGACCAAACCCAGGUCACCAACACAGGUGAGUGGGCCACGAUUCUCACAGUGCACCCUAUAAAUAAUGAUACAAAAACACUGAAAAAAGGUGCCAUGUACAUAACAGCACUGCUGUGAUAUUUAGAAACGCAGAGUCAUUGUUAUUCCAUCUUCAAAAGGGCACACAGGAGACGUGUCCUGUAGCUCUGUUUUGCUCUGCAUGCGGUGGCUGUCAGCGCCUUUGCACGCCGUAGUUGUACUAGCCACACGACAACAUUGCCCAAACAAGACUGGGGAGGGCAAUUGUAUGUGCAUGUGUGAACAAAAUACAGAUACACUGGAAAAUAACCCCGUAGCCAACAUAAUAAUACAACCUUUGCAAUGGCUGAUAUUCAUUGAAUUAGCCUGAUAAGGUUCUUGGUAAUAUGCAUAACAAUUAUGGAUAUAGACACUGGAAAUAGAUUAAUUGCCAUAUAAGAAUGUCCCCGCCCCAAACACACAAUCAACAGACACUUUAAUUAAAUCAAAUAAAGGGGCCCCCAAAUGAAUAUGUGACAUUGACCAACCUGGUAAAUACAAAUGAUUAAUUUCAGUUUGGAAACUGUCACCAUUAGUAAAAUGGGAAGAAUGAGAAAAUGCAUUCUUCAAGCGUAUGCAUGACUGUAAAUGGAUACAUCUCAGAAUUCAGGCUGCUCAUUUCAUCUCAAGAUUGCUCUCAGUUUACAGUGGCAUUUGAUAUAUAGUGGUAAUUCCGUUAUCCAAUUUGUAUCAAUGUCAGUGUGAAGAACUGCUGUCAGUGACAUUAUUACAUUUUCUUGAGCCAUUUACUGUUUGAAGAGGUCACAUUUGGAGAUGUUAUGCGGCAUACCUGAUAUGAAAACAGUAGAAGCCUUCCUACACCUGGCAAUACAACUCCCCAAAGCAAUUUUCUCAUCAAAUUACCCAUCAGAAUAAUAACAGAUAUAUUAUGACAGAAAACUGAACUAGCUGAAGUCCUACUUUGUUAAUGCCUUCUUUGUGGUUCAGCGAAAGACAGCUGACCAUACGGUGAGCAUAAUUUCGAUCACACCCUUUAACGUGUCAAGUUUAGUUUUCAACACCUAAACAUUAGGAGGGCGUCGAGUUUGACUCAUGUAAGUAGUGUGAAUGAGAUGAGAUGAGAUGAGACGAGUCGAGGCCCUGUCUGAUGACAGGAGGCAAACAAUGCAGCGAAGCUUCGAAAGAUCACAACUGAAUGUGUUUGGCUAAACCAGCUGCCACCAGCUGUGAAAACAACAAAACACAGUAGACAAAGCCAAACCACUUAGACAACACUCCACCUGACACGCACAAAGCCUAUGUGCUCUUUUUCAGGCAAACAAGAAAAUGCUAUGCAAAAUCAGUAAGAAUCAUUACAUGCACAAAUUAUAUAAGGUUCAUCUAACAUUGUUGCUGUACCUCUGCAAACAUAUAUGGUUUGUGUACUCUAUCUAUCUUUAUCGAUUUUGUAGUACAGUAGUAUAGUAAGUAAAGAGGACUUUCACUUUUCCUGAAGUUGGUGAACCAGAUCUCAAAUCACAAAUUGCGUGCUGCAGUUGCAGCCUGAGAGGGGAAACUGCAUGGCCGGAACUGUGUCCUCUACACAAAUAUCCUAAUGCAAACAAAACUGCCCUGCCAAUAUGUGACAGAGGAAUAACAAACAUUGUAUGGGUCUGCUCGUCUCCUGCUGUUUCCCAUUUAACCUCGUCGAUUUUACAUCUGCCUGUUACCAGAGGCUGGGAAAACAGAUAAGCAGCUCCUCCACUCCAAAGGGAAAACAAUAUUGAAAAACUGGGAUAUGGCAUCAAUUCAGCCAGAACAGUUCAAAGAAUGUGUGAAAGCUAAUAACCGCUCACUCUAACGUGGCAACAAAUACAAGAUUCCCAAUUUAGUGAGCGCUCUCGCUGCGUGCAGCCACUGAGAGAGUGAGGUGAAAAUAACACAAGACUUCAUUCUGAGCUUAAAAGGCUUGUUUACAUUUUGUGAUGGGAAACACUCAGGGGGUUAGAUCAUGCAGUGUAUUUGCAUAGCAUUUGGUAUGUAAGGAUAAUAUUUACCAUACCCUUCACCGCCGGUGUCCCUGGUGGGUGUGGGCAAAAUCAGAUUUGAUGUUGCUGUUAAAUGAUGGUUGCCUGCUGCGAGUUGUUGAUUAUAUUUUCUGUGUAACCUAUGGGUGCACUGACACCGCGUGUUGCCUCAGCCCAUUUACAUGUCCUCAGAGAAUACAGAGUUUUGACAGAAAAUCUCCACAGCUUAUUGGACAUGUGAUUUUCCGACAUUCUAUUCUUAAAGGCAAAUGAGCAGAGACUGCAGUGCUGUCAUGAGCAUCAAUAAUGUAUGUGUUAGUGGAACAUCGGGAUAUUUCAAGAGAAGCCUGUUUGAACUGUAUACAGCUAACAAAUAGCAAAUCCAUCAAAUGAUAUAAAUGUGAAACGUUUAGCUAAGCCGACAAUACAUAAAUAUAGAUCUACAGGGACGAGUUCAAGGCCCUCUAUCAUCUACAGCCCCUUUGUCACAAGAUUAUUUUGUAUUUUCAAUCACGCUCAAUUCACAGCAGAACAAAAGAAAGCCUCAAUUAUCAGGUGGGUCUUUCAAAAGCUGUCAUGCAUGUCAUCCACUCUUUCUCAGUUAGGCCUCCGCCGCUGGGAAAGCGCCCUGUGUAUCGUUGGCACAGAGCCAGUUCAGAGUCUGCACAACAUGUGCAUCCUGACCGUGUCUGUGCUCAUGCACUCCUCUUCUCCCAGAAUGCUACAGCACAACACCAGAGAGACAAAAGCACAACGAGGCUCAGAGGUUGCUAAAGGAAAAGGGAAACGGCUUGAUAUCUGCAUUCAAAGAGACACGAGAAGACUUCUCUGGUUGGGGGGGGGGGAGAAAAAUAAGAGCGGGACGCUGCGUUCGAUAUUUUCUUGGAGAGCAGUGCGCUGCAUGUGCACCCAGGGAGUUGGAAAUGUUUCUCAGCCCUUGGGGAGGGGGGGAAUGGAAAGGGAAAGGGAUGUGUGAAAUUUGCCAAGAGAAAGUCUGGAGACAGCGCUGGAUGUGAGGAGUUUAUCUCUGGCGUGCAAGGUCCCUCACAUCCUGCUCUUAAGCCCCGCUCUAGUAGAUGGCAAACGUACACUGGCUUCCUCUCCUAGGCUCCAACAACACUAAGAUCUAAACUCACACUGAGUACAAAAAAAGAACGUCGCACUCACACUCUUACACAGUCUUAGUUGAGAUACAUUUGCUGGCUGUGUUUUUGUCAUUUGUUUUGAUGUAUCAGUCUUCCACAGACGCUUGUCGCUAACAGGCGGAGAGGAGCACGAGGCUGCGCACCAUCUGCACCCAAUCAUCCCCAGUCAUCUGAUUCAGUCAUAAGAACUCAUUCCCAUUAGACCCACUGAGUCAUCCACUGUUCACGCCCCCUCCCCCUCGCUUCCUCCCGCUCUCCUUCUCUCUCUCGCUCUCUCUUUCUCUGAACCCCUCCACUCCAAACCCCUACAGCCAGACAGGGAAAGGACAGAGGCCCUGAGGCCAGCUCCAGCCAGUAAAGAGAAGAGACAAGAGGAGGAUUGGGAGGGAGGGGUGUUCUGAUGUUGUGGUUGGGCCAGGUCAUAUGUUUUGUUGAGAUACGAACAGAAUUUGUUCUCUGCUUCCAAUUCUCAGCCAGACGAGACCCUAGGCAAAGGGGGUAUGUGAGG